This is a long non-coding RNA of Panicum virgatum (switchgrass), 6630 nucleotides long. RefSeq lists it as uncharacterized. The transcript is spliced from 2 exons. The record is from RefSeq and is a predicted model, not a curated record. NCBI's taxonomy places the organism in Eukaryota, Viridiplantae, Streptophyta, Magnoliopsida, Poales, Poaceae.
GCUACACAAAGUCGAUAACACCCCAACUACAGCUUGGCCCAAUAAGCCUAACUCGCCGGCGGCCAGGCCGGCCGCCGGCGCUUCUGGGUCCCUCUUGCUUCGCCUCGGCUCUUCCUCCGGUGCAGCUUGUUCCCGGCGGCGGACUCCUCGAGAGUCGAGACACCGCUCCCCCACCUCCCCCUCAGUGGUUCUUCAUCCUUGCCACCGAGCCAGGUCUCCCCGCGCAGCACACGCCGGAGAUGAACCGAGCCUGGUCCGCGCCGUCUCCGUGCGGCUGCUUGCUCUGCCAUUCCUCCCGCAACGAGUCCGCACCGGAGGACCGGGCGUGCAGGGAAGCUUGGAGGAUGUGAAACUGCAAAAGAGUGUGGCGUUAUUUUUUACUAGCAGCUUGCAGUUGCAGCAGGACCUCUCUAGCACUGGAGUAUGCAAGCCUGCAGGAUGAUCUUUCGCCACAUCACUAAACUGAUGGUAUUACCAAUUUUUUCGAAAGUUACCUGCUACGCCUUCAGGGCACACCUUCCAUUUGGAUGUGAUUUGUCUGGACUCUGCAAUCCUUAUUUAAACAUGGAUCUCCAGCCUGCAAGAUGAAAAUUUCACGAGCAUUUCUUGGAUAUUAAAUGGUUUUCCUGUUUCCAGGAGAGAGGGGGGAAGAGAAUAAAAUAAGCCCAGCUUUUUAUUUCUGAAGUAUAUAAUAGGUCCCUUUGGAUGGCUCUGAUUAACACCGGGAAGCAUUACAAGAGUUUGACAGUUGAAAGACACUACUUAAGGCUGAUGUGAUCAGACGUGGUUUGGAUUAUUUUGAUAGACACAAAGCAGAAGUUUUUAUGAGCAUUUGACAAGCUGUGAGCCUCCACAAGUUUGCUAGCUUCUUGAUUCUCUGCUCUUCUCAUUCGCCUGUAUUUGACCAUGACCAGGCGACAUCUUUGGUCUGGAGAAGCAUUGGCCUCGGCCCUCAACAUCCAGUUACCAGGAGCUGCAGUUGGAGCUUGUUAUGAGAUAUCUCUGAUGAGCAAUCUGGAAAGGCAGAGCAAUAGGUGACGGACUGUAAAAGCAACCAACUGAAGACUCCAGAUGGCCUCUGAAUGAAGACCAAAAUGUCUUUUACUAUGAUUUUGGACCCUGCAAUGAGCAACAGUACAAUUUGAAUCCUAAAUAGAUUGUGCAGCCAUUCUGAAACUGAAAGCGAAAAGUUCAAAUCAUCUACAUGAAAUGUGGUAGCGGUGGCUGAAAUCCUUGCCAGAACAACAAUAAAACUUUAUUCUGGAACAAGAUGGAGCAUUUUGUGAAACACUAGCCUGAAUAGCAAGAGCCCAUAGAAAUCUCAGCCUGGAUGUAGCAGACAGUAAGGCAUCAGGACGUCAUGCACUAGAAAAUUCUUGGGACGUGUCAGUUGAUUUUUCAUGGUGCUCCUUUACCAGAGAGCUGGGGAGGUGCUUGUGAAACCUGUCUCUAAUUGCUUGCAACUCUUUAAGAGCAUCUCCGAUCGGUGGACGAUCUGCUGGUGUCUCAUGUGAACAGAAAAUUCCAACUUGCAGAAUGGAGGCAAUGCAGGAAAUUCUCAUAUCUCUAAUACUGCCAGAGUAAGAAAUGCUUGCUUCUUUGUUUUCUGUCUCUGUUAGUAGCUGUUGGUCCACGAUACUACUCACUCUGUCUGGAAACGCCAUUUGAACGUACUUGUGGAGUCCAAUGGCUUCUCCAAAUUCACUGUCCAUUGGACGUUUUCCAGUGAACAUCUCCAGCAACAGUAUUCCAUAGCUGUAGACAUCACCAUGGGUGGAGACUUCAUUGCCCAGUCCAUACUCUGCCAACCAAAAUGACAUCUUUUUAAGAAAGUUAUCUCUGAAGAAUUUGAUAUGCUCCUUGAAUGUUUUAUGUUCAGUAUAAAAUUCAUUUACAAAAACUACAUUUAAUAAUAUAAUUUACAACAACAACAAAGCCUUUUAAUAAUAUAAUUUAGUUCCAUGAAAUUUUAGAUUCAGCUCCUUCAGAUUCUAAAAAGUUCAGUUAUGCUGAGCUGUACAUAUCUACGUGAAGUAAAGUAGGCAUUUCAGACUAUAUAUAUUGGAAGAAGAUCAAUUAGAAAAUAGAAGCACACCUGGAGCUGCAUAGCCAAUCGAUCCUCUCAUUGAUGCCCAACCACUUGACUGAUUCGUGUCUUGAUGUAGAAACCUUGCAAGCCCAAAAUCACCAACAUGAGCAACCAUGUCACUGUCCAGUAGAAUAUUGCUUGGCUUAAGAUCGCAGUGAAUAAUAGGUGUUGGCUUAUACUGGUGAAGGUAAUCAAGUGUGGAUGCCACAUCAAUCGCAAUGUGUAGCCUUCCAAUCAAAUCCAGUGCCUCAUGUUCACCAUCUUCCAGGAUAGGUUGGUGCAGCCAUUGGUCUAAAUUUCCAUUUGGUAGAAACUCAUACACAAGGGCCUUGAAUUCACGACCCUGAAAAUCAAUACUGGAGCAGACUGUCAAGAUCUUCACAAGGUUACGAUGUCGAGCACAUCUUAAAGUCUCACAUUCUGCAAUAAAACUUCGAGUUGCGCCACGUUGCAUGAGGUUGAGAACCUUAACAGCGACUGCCACAUGCCUCCCAUUGCCUCUCAUUCUACCUUUGUAGACCGAACCAAAGCUCCCUGCUCCGAUGAGGUUCUCGGAUGAGAAACCAUCUGUUGCAUUGGCCAAUUCAACAUAAGAUACUCUCACGUAUUGGUGUUGCUCAUCGAUGGCUGGCCUUUGUAAGUUUUCUUUUGUUUUUUGGGUCUUUCUGUAGAAAGACAGUGCAAGUGCAAAUAUUGCGACGAAAAGAAAUGCACUGCAUACGGAGACUAUUAUGGCCACUUCCCGUGAUGGCCUCUUGCUGCUGUGGAUAGAGCAGGGUGGCAAUUUCAGUUGAGGGAUACCACCACAGAGGCCAUCGUUUCCUGUGAUAGAGAUUGCAGUGGCAUUGAGAAAUACCCCGUCUUUUGGCACUCCACCUUGCAAUUUGUUGAACGAGAGAUUCAAUGAAGAAAGCCCUGGUAGCUUGCCAAGUAUUUCUGGGAUUGUCCCAGAUAAAUUAUUGUAGGAAAGAUCAACCACCAAGAGGCCUCUUAGGUUUCCUAGGGACGUUGGAAUCGUCCCUUGAAGCAUGUUUACAGAUACAUUAAGAUGUUCCAAGCUUUGACACUCUCCAAUGGAGGCUGGAAUUUCACCAGAAAUUAUAUUAUUAGAUAAAUCAAUUUCAUUGAGAUUUUUGAGAUUCCCCACUUCUGAUGGGAAAGGCCCUGAUAAGGAAUUAUGUGCGAGAUUCAUGGAUUUCGACAGUGUUGAUAUGAAAAAUAGUUCUUUGGGUAUUGGACCAGAAAGAUUGUUGUUAGAAAGAUCCAAUUUUUCUAAAGGACAGUUGCUGAGACUGGAUGGUAUAGCUCCUCUUAUCGCAUUAUUACUCAGGAUGAGGGUACUAAGUUUUGUAAGAUUGCCCAGAGCUACAGGGAUGGGCCCUGACAGCGCAUUAUUUGAUAAAGAUAACUUGUUCAACUUCUUGAGUUUGCUUAGAGAUGCUGGAAUGGUGGAUGCUAGCAUAUUAUAUUCCAUAUCAAGUUCACUUAGGUUGAUGAGGUUCCCUAUUCCUUCUGGUAUUGCUCCAGUUAUCUUGUUGUCUCCUAUGCUAAGAAGUUCCAUUCGUGUGGAAAGAUUACCAAUGGAAUUUGGUAGCACACCUUCGAGUUUGUUGGAACCCAAAACCAAUCUCCUCAUCUUGCUAGAAUUGGUUAGACCAGCCAGGAAGCCCCAGUCAGCAUCAUUUCUUGAUUCGAAGUUACUCCCUGCAAGCAACACCACGGAGAGGUUCUCUUGGUGAGUUCCCAAGCACUGGGGAAUUGUGCCUGACAUGAAGGUGGUUACUAUUUCAAUGACUUGAAGCAUGGAGGCAUUGCAUAUGGAUGAUGGGAGCGAACCCUGAAAUUGAUUGAUUGAUGCAAAUAGUAAUUUUAGACUUGGUAACUUGCUACCCAUAUCAGGUGGAAAAUCCCCAGUGAAAUUGUUGAAAUCCAAUAGCAGAAGUUCAAGAGAAGAGAGAUUGAACAUCGCAUGAGGCAAUGACCCUUCUAGCGCAUUUUUGGAUAGAUAAAGUUCGGUGAGGUCAUGGAGGUUUCCAAUUGACUGUGGUACGGAACCUGAAAGAUUGUUCACUGAGAGAGAAAGGAUCUGAAGUAACUCAAGGUUUCCUAAUGAUUCUGGGAUUUGACCCACUAGACUGUUAUACUUGAGACUUAAGUAAACUAAUGAAGAGAGGUUUCCUAACCAAGAAGGGAUGUUUCCUGUGAGCUUGUUGCUCGCCAACUCAAGUAUUUGGAGAGAUGAUAAGCCUUGGAGUGGUGGGAUGUGUUCUAGGUUAUUGUUGGGAAUAGUAAGAACGGUCAAUGCUGAGAGGUUUCCAAGUGAAGCAGGGAUACUUCCAUAAAACAGAUUGUAGCCUAGAUCUAGCUCGCCGAGACUGACAAGAUUGCCUAUCUCUGCUGGGAUUUCCCCAGUCAAAUUGUUGAAUGUUAGAUCGAGGUAUCUGAGAUUCACAAGGUUCCCUAUACUGGAAGGUAUGGUUCCUGUAAGUGCAUUAGAUUCAAGAUGGAGUAUUUGGAGAUUAUGCAGUGAGCCGAACUCUCCUGGUAUCAGCCCCUGCAAUUUGUUAUCAUUGAUUGAAAUAUUGACAAGGUGGCUGCAGUUGGAGAGUGAUGGUGGAAUCUUCCCUUCAAUGGAGUUGUAGCUAAGCUGCAGAUCCUCAAGGUCAUAGAGAUUACGGAGCUCUGGCGGCAGGAUCCCAUGGAAGUGAUUCGACGAAAGGUUGAGCAGCCUCAGGUACGUGAGGUUUCCCAGCGCAGGAGUGACGGUGCCAACAAGGUCGAGCUCACCGAGGUCCAACACCACCACACGGCCAUGGCGCCUUCCCUUCAGGCCACACGACACGCCCUGCCACUGGCACAUCGGCACAGACCGGUUGCCCCACGUCGCCAGAGCUCUCGAUGGGUCACUCGAAACUUGUGACUUGAAUGCCAUGAGCGCGAGGUGAUCGGAGGAAUUGGAGGUGGAUGCUGCAUGAGCUGCGAGGAAGAGAGAGGUCUGUGUCAUGCUUGUGGUGCAGCAAGCUAGAGAGACAAAGGCCAGCAAGAGAUGCUCAAGGAACAGCACCAUUAUUGCUGUGUUGAUUGGGGAAAGAUUAGCUGGUCGUUUGUGCUUGUUUUAGUGCAAAGCAACCAGCCAGAGAUCAGGCUACUUAUAUGGUUGGAGGCAGCAGACAGUUCAACAGAUAAAGCAAAACAAAGCUUAAAAGACUCAAACAGAAGAAAGUUGCGGCAAGUAGAUUUCCAGAUGCCGCUUCACUGCCGGCUGGGUACGUCUUUUCUGUUCUGCCUCUGUUGUCAUCAAGCCGUUGGAGGGAUUCUCCAGGUGUCCUCGCCUAUGUUGGAAAAAAUCUCUAACCCUAAACAUAUUUUAGUAACAUGUGCCCAGCAUUGCUCCGAAAGUCCGGAUACUACUGAAAUUUGCAACCGAAGGCUGCUUAGUAUUAUUCCAGUUAGAAUUUUUAUUUUGUUGUUUUCACAUUAUCUCCUCAAAACUUUAUGUUUCUUUGUUAUUUCAUAAGCAUUAACAUUUUUUUGAAAGGGCAAAGCAUUAACACUUAGAUUGCAUCUUUUGGCAAAAGAAACCUAAGAUAGCAUCAAAAUUAGGUAUGCAACGACCUCUUACUGAUCUAGGCCGGUACAACAUGUUGCCACAGGUUUUUUUAAAAAAAAUCUUGGUUCUGAUCUGGUGAGUGAACAACUGUGCUCGUCUUCUUUGCGUUUGAGGCAAGUUGUUCAAUGUCUUAUGAAGUUGCUCAGAAAUGGAGCAGCAGUUUAGUCGCCAAAGAUCAUUUUCAGUUCAUCAAUUAAUACACGUUUGUUAGGAAAAACUAAAGAUCAUUUUCAGUUCAUCAAUUAAUACACGUUUGUUAGGAAAAACUAGUCUAUGUUUGGUUUUGGAACGCUGCUAUACAUAUGAAUGCUAUGUGUGAAUCAAGGAGAGUUAUUAGCAUUUAGCAGCAUCACUUAGUCGCACACUGCUCCAACAUUCAUACGUGCAGCAUUCUCUCUUGUUUUGAUGCAAGUCUGUCAUUGCCAACCGACCACUCAAUCGAUCAACAAAGUAGCUAUUUCUAAACACAGGCGAGUGGUCAUGGAUCAUUAAUUUUUUAAUAUUAUAUAUUAUCCGUAUGUCACUGUCAUGUUGAGGAAGCAAAGGAUACUGCCACUUUCAGUCAAUUUAAACAGCCAGUUGCACUUUGAUUUAUGCAUAAUUUUUCGUAGUACAUUUAUGAUCAAUACAUAUAUCUAUUUUCCUUCAAAAUUGAUAUAUAAUGUAACAAACUACCACUGCAAACUGUUGUUUAUCAUGGUUGUGAAACCGUGCAUGUGUGUCAGUAUGUCAAGGAAUCGGCGAUAUAUUCUCUUGUAUCAGCUGAAGUGUCACCAUAAAAAUCAAAAACUCCAAGUUCGGCAUAAGUAGUAGACCGAUAUGUCAAUGUGAACUCAGCUGUUUGCUGUCUCUUUGUAAGAGCCAAUUCAACUUGCUUUUGACAGUGCAAGGAAAAUAGAAGAUGGUGAUGUGAUGCAGUUGUUUUCUCGCA